This 65-nucleotide transfer RNA is filed under the name Ogmocotyle ailuri. RNAcentral describes it as "tRNA-Ala". The record is from RNAcentral. Lineage: Eukaryota; Metazoa; Platyhelminthes; Trematoda; Plagiorchiida; Notocotylidae.
AACAACAUAGUUUAAAUAUGAGAAUUGAUGCUCUGCAAGCAUUAGGUGGGGUUAUCUUGUUGUUA